CCUACGGGGGGCGGCAGUGGGGAAUAUUGGACAAUGGGGGCAACCCUGAUCCAGCCAUGCCGCGUGUGUGAAGAAGGCCCUCGGGUUGUAAAGCACUUUCAGUGAGGAAGAACGCCUGGUGGUUAAUACCCAUCAGGAAAGACAUCACUCACAGAAGAAGCACCGGCUAACUCCGUGCCAGCAGCCGCGGUAAUACGGAGGGUGCGAGCGUUAAUCGGAAUUACUGGGCGUAAAGCGCGCGUAGGUGGCUUGAUAAGCCGGUUGUGAAAGCCCCGGGCUCAACCUGGGAACGGCAUCCGGAACUGUCAAGCUAGAGUGCAGGAGAGGAAGGUAGAAUUCCCGGUGUAGCGGUGAAAUGCGUAGAGAUCGGGAGGAAUACCAGUGGCGAAGGCGGCCUUCUGGACUGACACUGACACUGAGGUGCGAAAGCGUGGGUAGCAAACAGGAUUAGAUACCCCUGUAGUC
This 465-nucleotide ribosomal RNA is filed under the name Vreelandella stevensii. RNAcentral's name for it is "partial 16S ribosomal RNA". It matches the Rfam family "Bacterial small subunit ribosomal RNA", at positions 338 to 795 of the family's 1533-position model. Lineage: Bacteria; Pseudomonadati; Pseudomonadota; Gammaproteobacteria; Oceanospirillales; Halomonadaceae. The record is from RNAcentral.